ACGAGGGAAUGGGAGCACAGGAGGAGAGCACAGCUGGGAGUAAUCAAAUACAACAAGAGCAGGGGAAGCCAAACUAGGCACACUGACGCGACGAAGGCUGUGCAAAUUCAAAGAGUCCUCCAAAUGUGGCGACAAACGCCUCCUUGUUUUCCCCGAAUUCGAAGGAUGGCUCGGCGUAUCUUUCGGGUCCUACCCUAUCCCAGGAUUCAUUGCGGGCCAUACAGGAGUUUUUCUGAUAACCAUGGCGGUCGAAACGGGAGUUAAUGCGGGAGAGGAAACGCUUUCAAAUGACCCAAGAUCUACAUCACUGGGGACGGCUACAUCCGCCGUGGGGAAGCACGAGCGAAGGACCCCAUUGGGACCAACCUCGGUCUGGAUGCACCGCUCCGGUGGUUCGGCUGGGGUGGGAUGGUUUGGAAAAGCCUGAUCCCUUUUCUCUCUCAAUGCCGUCAAGGAAGAUUCGUACCAUAUGUCCUGGUGAUCCCGGAAUAAUAUCCGGACUUGUCAUCGACUCAUGCCACCUCACGACACAGCUACAGCAUUUAAAUGAAGUACAAUCAUUUCUGCUGUUCACAAAUAAGGACUCACAGGCUGCACAAUCCUCGGCUACUCCUCAGGAAAAUAUCUGUAACGUUGCUGUUUCACUUCAGCUGCAUGAAUCGUGUCUCACAUAAUCUUCCUAUGAACAUCUUCCCUGAUUUCUAGUGUAUUGUGUACUGUAACUUAUUUUCAAAAGGGAUUAUUUGCUACAAAAACAGUGACUGGGUUCUAUCAGAGUGAGUUGGACAGACUUGCAUGAGCUGUAAUAUUUGUAUGUAUUUGAUGAAGGCUCAUAAGGGUCAAGUUAAUUUUGUAGAGAGAGUUUGUACUUUCAGAGAAAUAUUGUAAUGAUUUCGGGCGUGUAAAUUUCAAGCAGGAACCUCAGAAACAAACUUGGUGUUUAAGAGGUUAACGAUGUUUGUGUCAUCUCACAAUGCAAAGAGACUCCAUGACAGCAGCAGGUGUUACUGUAUUAUAUCAGAACUGGAUCCAGCAGAAAUGUAUUGACCUGUUAAUGUGUUUGAUGAAGAGAUGCCUGAGAUGCCUUAUUUCCACCACUGUUGCAUAUCCGGGUUUUAAAACUAUGCGACCAGGUCGGGGUGAUCACCUGGGACUUGAAAGAGGGAGUGGCUAAACCACACAUUACAAAGUGUAAUAAGGUGGCAGCCAUCACCGAUGGGGAGAUUGUAGUGAACCGUGUUUGAGGAGUUCUCCAAAGUCCACGAGGGGGGGCCUCAUAUAUAAUAAGGGGGCAUGAACUGAGAGGCACAGCUCCCCCUUAGGUCAUAAUCAUCACUGCAUGGACUCAGUUUUUCAGGGCACCUGCCCUUCCACUGGCAGAAGGUCUUACUGCGAAAGCGGAGGAUCUUCUGCAUCCUCCUGGCCUGUAACGACGCCAAAGAUGAGCUCAACCAAGGGGGGCUUAUGACAACAGAAGGGGAGGUCGUGGAGGUCAGUAUCGGUGGUCCCAUCAGAACUGCUAUUGCUUUAGCUUUUCAAAGAAACCGUUAUUGUUUUUAUGCAUUUACCAGUCAAAAUUGUUGUCAAUCAAACACUAAAUUGUGGGAACAUGAACAACCACUGUUAUUUUAUCAUUUGUGUUUCUGGUAUUCAUACAGUCCAUUUCCAUCAUGCCUACAUACAUUUGUAUUGUAUGGGCUAGAUUACACUCAACAGUCUUUAUGUGCUCGCUAACAAUGAUGGAAGGAUUAGAUUAUAUCGUUUUAAAUGCACAGACAAACGGCUUUAGUGAGUGUUGUAUACAAUGAAAACAAAAGGAGGAACAAUGGAAGUAGUCGACAUAUAAUGUAGUGAAAGCUGUCGCUUAAGCAUGGGUUUAAAGGAAAAUACUCAAACGUGUUGUGUGUCCAAGGUGUUUGUAGAUUCGUCAAGAAACAAACACCUGUCACGGAUCUAUACACUCACUAUAACUGACGUUAAUUUUAAUGGACUUUUCCGUGUUUGGCAGUGAGGAAGGUUGUCAGGGAAACAACACAUUCCUAUUAAAAACUCUCCAGCUGAAGCAGGUAAUGCUGCACCUGAAGUGUGAUACUGACAGCUGAAAGUCAUCUGGUACAUUUGGCGGAUGGUUGAACCAUGACAGUCUCCCUGUGGAGGGAGGCAGCCAUUCACCACUUUGUGACCACAUAAAGGUCUCACAUGUGAAGCUGAACCAGUGUGCGUAUGGUCCACAGCUGCACACAGCUGCACACCGCAUCAUUCACGAAGACUGCGGAAUGAAGAAGCCAUAUGUUCGUACCAACAUGUAACAGCAAUGUCACAUUAACAAAAUAUUUAGAAUGAUGGGUUUUGAAAUGUAAACAGAUGCACUGUGUUGGUCAAAAUAUGACAUCAUACUAUCCAGAAAUGAUUUCAUCAUCUGUUGUUUUUAAUGUUUAUUCAACUGUAUUCUAAGCUGCCUGUUGUCCCAUGACCUCAUACUGCUUGUUUUUUCUUUUUCUUUUUUUUUUUCUUUUAUCUUGUUGCAUAAAAAUGUUCCUAAACAAAUAAAAAUAAAAAA
Molecule: long non-coding RNA, 2560 nt
Organism: Haplochromis burtoni (Burton's mouthbrooder)
Lineage: Eukaryota; Metazoa; Chordata; Actinopteri; Cichliformes; Cichlidae
Exons: 4
Source: RefSeq, a predicted model, not a curated record